RNAcentral lists this long non-coding RNA (1270 nucleotides) under Homo sapiens (human). RNAcentral describes it as "non-protein coding lnc-DHRS7-1:10". The record is from RNAcentral. Lineage: Eukaryota; Metazoa; Chordata; Mammalia; Primates; Hominidae.
AGAUCAUCCGGGCGUUGGAGAGGGAGGCAGAGAGCGGGUCCCGGAGAAGGAGGAGGAAGAGCCGAGGACUCAUCGCUUUCGCGCCUCAGCUGUCUAGAGUCCCCCCACCCCCCCCUCCCCAACCACCCGUUCCGGAGCAACAGCCGCCUGAGGACCCGAAGCUGCGGGCCGGACGAGCGCCGAGACCACUGCUCUCUAGCUCCCGCGCGCGCUCCCGUCCCUAGCGCCGCCACCGCCGCCGCCGCCGCCUCUAGCGCGGCCCCGCGCAGGCGCGCUCACGACCGCGUCGCCCCUCCCCCACCCCUCCGCUCGCCCCGCCCCGCUGGCUCCGCCGCCGCUACAGCUGCGGCGCGGCGCGCAGCUACAGAGACCCGGAUGUCGUUGGGCAGGAACUGCGGUGAGGGCUGGCGGGCGGGGGAGGGGCCGCCACAGAUGACGUCACUGCCUUACCCAGCUUCUUUCUCUGCCGCUGCUGCUGCCGCCGCCUUUGCCUUACGGCCUGGAGCACCAGGCCGAAGCCGAAGGGAGCGUCCGGAUCCCGGAUAGCAGCCAGGACCCGGGCCUUCACGUUCCGGCGCCAGGGACUGGACAGAAUGUGCGGCUAUUAGGUGCCCAGUAGAUCGACAGCCCCUCCGUGCCGGCCCUUGGCCAAGUAGGGACUCGGAAGCUACCCCUACGGCGUCCGCGCCCGGAGCCCUGGCUCUUCUACCUGCCUGCAGAUACAAACCCCACUCCCUGCGAAGAUGGUGUACACGCAGCCCCGAGCACAGACCCGAAGCUGUCCACCCUUCUUGGGCGCCGUCGCGGUCUGGCCGCUGCCCUUCGAACCCAUGCCAUGUUGGAACUACAUUUGGAAAGGUGGUUGUUAAACAUUUCCCAGCACACACCUGGAUCUGCAUCUGCUGUGUCAAUUGAACCACUCACUGGUUCUGUGACCUCAGUUCUUCGUAGACUCUGGAAUGGAGCUGGAAGCUGUCAUCCUCAGCACACUAACGCAGGAACAGAAAACCAAGCACUGCAUGUUCCCACUUAUAAGUGAGAGCUGAACGAGCAGAACACAUGGACAUAUGAAGGGGAACAACACACUCUGGGGCCUGUGAGGUGCAGGGAGAGCAUCAAGAAGAACAGCUAAUGGGUGCUGGGCUUAAUACCUGGGUGAUGGGUUGAUCUGUGCGGCAAACCACCAUGGCACACAUUUACCUAUGUAACAAACCUUGACAUCCUGCACAUGUACCCCGGAACUUAAAAAUAAAAGUUGACAAAAAGAAAA